UCUUCUUGUCGAGUCCAUACACAAGAUUAGAAGCUGUUGGCCAGAGCUGAACACACCUCUCGGCAUCUGCAUACAAUGGUGUCUGUCUUGUCGCUUCUUGUGCUUCUUGUGCGUGGUGGUGGAAACAUUGGUGGA
This is a long non-coding RNA of Amblyraja radiata (thorny skate), 135 nucleotides long. RefSeq lists it as uncharacterized. NCBI's taxonomy places the organism in Eukaryota, Metazoa, Chordata, Chondrichthyes, Rajiformes, Rajidae. The transcript has 3 exons. The record is from RefSeq and is a predicted model, not a curated record.